This 646-nucleotide ribosomal RNA is filed under the name uncultured bacterium. Its description in RNAcentral is "partial 16S ribosomal RNA". The record is from RNAcentral.
ACGGUUACCUUGUUACGACUUCACCCCAAUUAUCGAACCCACCUUCGGCCGCGCCCCCCUUGCGGUUAAGCUACGGACUUCGGGUGUUCCCGACUCUCAUGGUGUGACGGGCGGUGUGUACAAGGCCCGGGAACGUAUUCACCGCGGCAUUCUGAUCCGCGAUUACUAGCGAUUCCAACUUCACGCAGGCGGGUUGCAGCCUGCGAUCCGAACUGGGACGGCUUUUUGAGAUUUGCUCCACCUCGCGGUCUCGCCUCUCUUUGUUGGCCGCCAUUGUAGUACGUGUGUGGCCCAGGACGUAAGGGGCAUGAUGAUUUGACGUCGUCCCCACCUUCCUCCGUUUUGUCAACGGCAGUCUCGCUAGAGUGCUCUUGCGUAGCAACUAACAAUAAGGGUUGCGCUCGUUGCGGGACUUAACCCAACAUCUCACGACACGAGCUGACGACAACCAUGCACCACCUGUCUCUACUUUCCCCGAAGGGCACCUAACGUAUCUCUACCUCGUUAGUAGGAUGUCAAGCCCUGGUAAGGUUCUUCGCGUUGCGUCGAAUUAAACCACAUACUCCACCGCUUGUGCGGGCCCCCGUCAAUUCCUUUGAGUUUCAACCUUGCGAUCGUACUCCCCAGGUGGGAUACUUAUUGCGUU